Molecule: long non-coding RNA, 2621 nt
Filed under: Triticum aestivum (bread wheat)
Lineage: Eukaryota; Viridiplantae; Streptophyta; Magnoliopsida; Poales; Poaceae
Description: long non-coding RNA (TAES_LNC016997)
Source: RNAcentral
AAGUCACCGCCGCUGGCCUGGAGGCCUCAUGCCGUCACCGCUCGCCCCUUUCUCUGUAGGUCACCCACACACCUGGGACCCGGGGCCGUUUCCUCCUCACCACCAGGCUGGAGCCCGAGGAGGUGACCCUGAGGAGCGCGCAGCCGCCGGAGCCAUGGGUAGAUCCAGUCGGGAGCGUCGGCAACCAUCCCUCCUUCCGGCGGCGAUGAAGAAUUGAAGAGGCUUGAGGAGAAUGGGCGCAUGGGCCGUGCGCGUCUCCCGCGCUGGAGCCACCGGUCCUCGUCAUCUGCUAGGAUCCACGAGGAAUCGAUCCAUAUGUAAGCUAGCUUCCACCAUAAUCCAUCCAGCAGGCUGUUUGCUUGUUUGUUUACUAGUGGAAAGACAUGAUGCGAGGCCGGCGUCGUGGGAACAUGCCCGCUGCUAAUUGAUUCUCCUGCUAAUAAUAGUAGUAUGUGUUCUUGGCCGUGGUGGAGAUGUACAUACCUGAAUACUCGUCAUAUAUCCGUACAUACUUGAAUACUGUCAAACUGGCACAUAUACUUAUAUACAUACCAGAGUACCUGUGCAUUUUUUUUAAUUCAGCUAAACAGGUCUACAGAUUCUCAAUCUUGGCAAAGGCUUGCUUUGCUCCUUUGCCACUCGGCAAACUCUGACCCGUUAGAUUGGGUAGUAGAGAUCGUGAAGAGCAACACGAACAUCUACUUUACUGACAGGGAAUGUAGGUGUAAUACGUACAUAGUGGUUUUCAUGGUAAAGGUUCUAGUAGAUGUAUGGUCAUUUUAGUGUAGUAUAUCCCAAUAAUCACUAUGAAAAUACAGCAGAAGCUCGAGUGUUCGUUUCCACUUUAAUUAUUGUAUUUCUCAUAUCUCAAUCUCAUCUGCGAGUUUGAUAUAAUCAAAUGGGUGAUAGCAUCACCUUGUACUAUGUACCCAUCCUGGUUACUGUUUUUAUUUAGGUAAAUGUAAGAUACCAUCAUCUUUUACCAAGUAUUCAUCCUGGUUACGUUAUGUGCAAAAUAGGUUCUACACUUAAUUACAAAUUUGUUGAAUAUGUGGUUUUGCCGCGUGCUUAUAGCCUGUACCUUUUGGUUGUACAUCUAUUUCUGUCUCAAGUUAUUUAUCUCUUACAGAAUGUUUGUGGGGAGCUCGGUUAGUGUCGAUGCCUCAAGGGUUUAUACAUAUCAAUUCCAUGUUGCUUAAAGCCACUGUAACCGUGGCUACUGGUUUUCAGGUAUAUGUUUAUGGAGUCAUAACGUGCUUGUUGACAACUCGUAUCGAAUGUUUAUAUUAUUUAUAACGUUUUCAUGGAAUGUCUACUGUUAAAAAACAUCUUGCGGGUACUUUAGUUAGGUACUAGAAAGCACAUACACACGCACAUGCCCAGCACAACCACAAGCAUGAAAACAAGGCAAAUUUUGGUGUUGUAAUUUAUGGAUACCUCUUGGUUACUUUGUUUCAAAAUAAAUAAUUAAAUUUUGGCUGGCAUUUUCACCAAUGUAGCCCCCAAAAAAAUCAUCUUUGAUGGAUUGAAUACGACAAAAGUUCUAUGUAGUUCGAUUGGUAAUUGUUCGUUCGUCGUCAUAUAAUUCAACAUUUUUCUCUCGGGCUAUCUAUGUGAUAGGUCUAUGUUAUCAACUCUUUAUUAGUAAAAAUAGUACCUAUUUUGCCAUAUCCAUGGUCAAUUCCUAUAUUUUUUCCUUGAAAAAAAUCCUACAUAUUCCAUAGACCAUGUUGCAUUUUAGAAUUUUGUUCAAUGUUCGGCCCCCCUUGUGUAUAAUACCUUGCUCCGCCGUUGCGCCUAACACAUGCGUACAGUUGUGGGCAUCCCUUUAUUAGUCCCACCUGCAGUCUGAAUGUGUAUCCCUAAGAAAGUGAAUGGUCAUGAUAACCUUCCUGAAGUAUGACUCUGUGUAUCCAUUGAAGUAAUGUUCAUGCAAAUCCUAUAAUUAUUGUUGUUAAAUAAUAAUGUUCAUCAUAAUAUAGGUUGCAUCCAAAGUAGUUUUAAAGACUUUAACAUAUCCAAACCAGCGAAAUGUUGCAUAUGCUACUAUUCAGAGUAUUCAUCUAGAAACUAAGGUUGGUGAUAUUUAGGUAGGUGCCAAAUUUGCACUUGUGUGCAUAGAUGAACCUAUUCUGGAUAAUGAGGAGUUGGUAAGGUAAGUUUCUGAUUGCAAGAGAAUUGGUGAUGCUUUUGCUUCAGGAUACUUAAUUGUCCAACCUCCAGCUUUUGUAAGUCGGAGUCUUUUCUUCCAUAUUCCACAAUUAUAUUUGUGAGCAUUUAAUCACAUAACUGUAAGGUCCAUUUUCCUUUUACAGAUUCAAAAGAAGCAUAAUGGAGUUGCAGCUGAACCGUUCUUCGGUUGGAUGAAGAAGCAAAUGUAAUUAGAAUACUUUACUUAGCAAUAAUUGUAGUUUGCAUUGAUGGAUUGAAAAAUGUAACACCAUUCAGAAGAUCUUUUUCUUUGGUCGAAUUGAUGCAAAUGCUAUGGUGUAAUAUUCUUCAUAGAUGAGUUCUCUAUAGUAAAAUAUAUAUGAAUGAUAUGAUGUCUAGCCAAUAACAUUGGUAUGUAUUUAUUGUAAUGCAUAUGUAUCCUACACUCUUGUAGAUUCAUCAUAAAUACC